This 253-nucleotide ribosomal RNA is filed under the name uncultured bacterium. RNAcentral's name for it is "partial 16S ribosomal RNA". It matches the Rfam family "Bacterial small subunit ribosomal RNA", at positions 524 to 776 of the family's 1533-position model. The record is from RNAcentral.
UACGAAGGGUGCUAGCGUUGUUCGGAAUCACUGGGCGUAAAGCGCGCGUAGGUGGCUAUGCAAGUCAGGGGUGAAAUCCCACAGCUCAACUGUGGAACUGCCUUUGAAACUGCAUAGCUUGAGUGUCGGAGGGGAUAGCGGAAUUGCUAAUGUAGAGGUGAAAUUCGUAGAUAUUAGCAGGAACACCGGUGGCGAAGGCGGCUAUCUGGACGACUACUGACACUGAGGCGCGAAAGUGUGGGGAUCAAACAGG